UUGCCGAAUCCAGUCCACCAGCUCGAACCGGCCCGAUAGAAAAGAAAAAAAACUCCAUCCUGCCUCCCCCGAACCACCCACUUCCCGAUCCCAUCUCGCCACUGUCGCCACCCCUUCCCCUGCCGCCGUGCGCCACCACCCCUCGCGCCACGGCCGGCCUCCCUCGUUCCAGCGUGCCGCCGGCCUCCCCCGUUCCAGCGCGCCGCGACCGGCCUCCCUCGUUCCAGCGCGCUGACGGCCUCCCCCGUUCCAGCUCACCGCGGCCGGCCUCCCCCGUUCCAGCACGCCUCCAUGGGCCUCCCCGUUCCAGCGCGCCACCGCAGGCUUCCCCCUUCCAGCGCGGCGCUGCGAGACUGACCGCCGCCCCCUGGCUUCAAUCUGCCGCCGUCGGAUCCCCUGGCUUCCACCUGCCGCCGUCGUCCCCCUAGCUUCACCUGCCGCCGUGGCCUCCCUGCUUCCACCAGCCGUCGUCGGGGGUCACCCCCGACACCUCCACCGUCGCCACGCGCGACGCGCCUCCUCCCAAGGACGCGGUCGCCUCCCCGCCUCCUACCAGCGACGCGACCACUCCUCCCGGCAGUGCGCCAUGUGUGGCCCAUGUUUCGGCGUCGCCCUCUGGGGCCUCAGCGCGCAGGACGUUCAACUCCGCCACCUGAGGUCAUUCACCUCUGCCACCUAAAGCCGUUCACCACCACCAGUCCCCGUCCAAGGCUGCCCCGAUGACCCGUGCGUUAACGCCCCUAUCAACCCCAUGGGAUUUUGUUUCUCUCGGCUUCAAAAAGAGAGGCAACAAGUAGCAAGGGAAAAAGAAGAGCAUGAUUGACAUCCGUAGUCAAAAUGAGCUUUGGACAUCAGGUGGUUCAACGUGUCGAGCGGUAGCAGCGCAUGCUCCGAAUGGUUGCCGGCGCAAGGAGGAUACAGGGAUGCUACAUUGCUGGAGGAGCAGUAGCAUGUAGUAGCUAGCUGAAGAAAAAGUAUCCGCACAGCCAGCGGCCUGCUCUGGCCAUGCCGCACCACCACUGGCAUGUCCACCAUGGUUGCUGGCAGCCGUCCAAGUUGAGCGCUGAUGAAGAGGAAGAUGUAGGGGUGGACUACUCAGGGCCUUUGCUGCUGGAGUCACGGCGUCUCGACAAGCUCAUGCAGAGCUACGGAUCCAGCGAGUUGCCCGUGUCGAUGAAAUGCAUGAUAAUUAAUUCCCUUGAAACCGCCAUUGGUAACCUCAUUCUUCUUUCUCGACCGGAAACAAGAGGGAGCUACAGCACUGAGACAGAUGGAGAUGCACACAUGCCAUGAUCAACACAUGCUAGACUCCGUGUAGAAUGCUCAAUUUUUCCCCUGGACUCUUGCGGCAAUUGAACUGUUUGCUGCGGAACUCCUACGUUUCGAACGAAAUGGUUACCAUGCAUCCGGGCUUAUGUAUAUGAAGAUUGUAUAGAGCUGCAGAUCACAAGAACACAUGCACUAUAGUGUCCACUUGUUGUCACUUCCCAUCUCCUGUAUUAUUCCAUCUGUAGCUCAGUCGGUUGUGCCUUGCUAAUGCCCUUUUAUUUAUUGAUGAAACAAUAGAAAAACGCCCUGUUGGUGCCUAGGAA
Triticum urartu is the source of this 1592-nucleotide non-coding RNA. NCBI's taxonomy places the organism in Eukaryota, Viridiplantae, Streptophyta, Magnoliopsida, Poales, Poaceae. The record is from RefSeq and is a predicted model, not a curated record.